UCCUACGGGAGGCAGCAGUGGGGAAUAUUGGACAAUGGGCGAAAGCCUGAUCCAGCAAUGCCGCGUGAGUGAUGAAGCCCUAGGGUCGUAAAGCUCUUUUACCCGGGAUGAUAAUGACAGUACCGGGAGAAUAAGCUCCGGCUAACUCCGUGCCAGCAGCCGCGGUAAUACGGAGGGAGCUAGCGUUGUUCGGAAUUACUGGGCGUAAAGCGUACGUAGGCGGUUAUUCAAGUCAGAGGUGAAAGCCCGGGGCUCAACCCCGGAACUGCCUUUGAAACUAGAUGGCUAGAAUCUUGGAGAGGUCAGUGGAAUUCCGAGUGUAGAGGUGAAAUUCGUAGAUAUUCGGAAGAACACCAGUGGCGAAGGCGACUGACUGGACAAGUAUUGACGCUGAGGUACGAAAGCGUGGGGAGCAAACAGGAUUAGAUACCCUGGUAGUCCACGCCGUAAACGAUGAUA
RNAcentral lists this ribosomal RNA (459 nucleotides) under uncultured bacterium. RNAcentral's name for it is "bacterial SSU rRNA". It matches the Rfam family "Bacterial small subunit ribosomal RNA", at positions 337 to 814 of the family's 1533-position model. The record is from RNAcentral.